GCCAGGCAUGGUGGUGCAUGCCUGUGGUCCCAGCUACUUAGGAGGCUGAGGCAGGAGCAUUGCUUGAGCCCAGGAGACAGAGGCUGCAGUGAGUCCUGAUGGGGCCACUGCACUCCAGCCUGGGUGACAGAGUGAGACCCUGUCUCCA
Molecule: signal recognition particle RNA, 148 nt
Filed under: Nomascus leucogenys (northern white-cheeked gibbon)
Lineage: Eukaryota; Metazoa; Chordata; Mammalia; Primates; Hylobatidae
Description: Metazoan signal recognition particle RNA
Rfam family: Metazoan signal recognition particle RNA
About the family: The signal recognition particle (SRP) is a universally conserved ribonucleoprotein.
Source: Rfam by way of RNAcentral